CACAGCAGUCGGAGUGGCGGUGGCUCUUGGGGAUACCCCCCACCGUGCUUCCCAGCCAGGGGCCAGGGCUCUGCAGCAAACGUCUACCAGGCCCCCUCCCGCCCCAGGCGGUGGCUUGCUACUUCCCGAGAGAAGAGGUGGAGUGGAAGCCGGCGCUUGGAGGGCAGAAGCGCAGGGGAGGCGGCGCGAGCAGCGAGCAGGAGGAGGGCUGCAAAGGCCAAGUUUGGAGGAAUCGCAGGCAGGCUCUGCGGAAAGCAGCCGGAUGCUGCUGCUGGCCGGCCGGCAGCCUGAGUUUAUCAUGGGGUUUAAAAACCCACACCGAUCCGAUCCCGGGGGGUCAUCUGCACCCAGCGCACUGGCAGGCUCUGGAGCGCUGGAGCCCUGAAGCCCACCCGCAGCCCCGCAGCCCGCAGCCCCGCAGCUCUGGGCUCCAGCCUGCGGGCACCAGCCGGGAGCCCUUCCCAGGCCUCUACGUGAAACUCUGAGCCACCGCAGGCCACGGCCUCGGCGUCGCCACCCAGAGACAUUGGUGACCCCUUGCAGUCCAGGCCCGCAGCCUGGCCUUGGCUUCCCGUGCCAGAUACGCGGAACCCACAUCCUCAAUCCCGGUCGCAGCGGGGCUCCCUACUUUCAUCGCAGCCUCCAGCCGAUCCUCGCAUCUGCCAGAGCCCCCCAGGCUGCGGGCCGGACGUGGCCUUGGCCACGCGCUCCACGCGCUUUCCACGCGCUCCGGCUGCCCACCCCCCGGUCUUCUGCACUGCGUCGAGGAAAGAAGCCCGGGCUGGCGGUGCCCGCGUUCGCGCCCCCAAGCUCGGCCGCAGCACCGCGCCCGCCCUCGGGUCCCCAGGUCUCCGGUGCUCGGCCUCCUGCCUCCCCGGGACCCUCUGAGGCCGGGGUCCCUCCCCAGGCCAGACCGCGCUGCCUGAAACCCGCCGUCCUUACCUGGGCUUUGUGAAACAUGGAGACCUUGCAGAGGAGGAAUGCUUUCUUUUGAACAAAAACCAAAUUCGAAGACUCAAGUGCACAGCAAAAGCUUUUGAUACUAGGCUACAAAACAAAACCGUUCAAAGCAGGCUUUCUUUUUUAAAAAAAUUAAAAGGAGAAAAACAAGAAAAGAGUAGGAAAUCUCGGCCUGGAGCGUUAACAAAUAUUUUUACCCUCCCGUGAGCAAUAAACCGUUUAUUAAAAAAAAAAAAAAAAGCCUUCCCCAUCUCCCGGGGUCUUUUUGCCAAUUCCUGUAAACUCUCGGCUUCAUUAGCUUACACUUCAGCAGAAUGUCCUCAGAAAUAUUUGGAAACGAAAUGGUCAGUCACCUUCUUAUGAAAAAGCUAAAAAUAUCGAACAAAUGAAUUUGAUUAGGGGUACCCUCUUCCUUUUUCUUAGCCAAAGGACCCAGCAAAGAGGGAGAGAUCAGAAGUUGUCCUGGGUACAAGGAAUCAGUGUGAUGCGAUAUAGGUCAAGGGACAUCAACUGUGCAUGCUGGGGGAAUCUUGUACUCCCUUUCUCAAACUGUCCCUCAAUGGCUAACUUUAUUAUUCUACAUCCAGGUCUAGCUUACAAGCACUUCCCUCCUUGUGAAUAAAGAAUUUGUAUUUUCUGUUAAGACGGAAUGAAAUGUUGAAAUGUUCACUAAAAAAAAAAAAAAAAAGUCGGAGCACAAUUAAAACCUCCAAACACCCUUCUAAACAAGAGAAUCUGGGCUGCAUCCAUUCACUCCAGAGCAGAUUUUAUUAUCAUAAAAAUAAGACAUACUUGCAUAAAAUUGUAAUGCAAUUAACACGGCUUAGGGGGAGAUUUGAUCUAGGUUUAAAUCAACUAACCUGCAGUAAAUUAUUGAACCCUUUCUAAAAAUUCGGUAAAAUGCUACUGUUACAGUACUGAAAGAAUAAAAGACCUGCUUGCAAUGAGGUCGUUGGGGCACUUUACAACAGAGCAAGGAAGGGGGGGGCACUAAUUUCCCUGACCCUCCUAACUUGCACAAAAGUGUUUUUUUUUGUCCUUCUGGAUUCAAGAUAGACGUUAGAGGUCAAGUUGCUCCUAUUUAUAUUAAAGGAAUUCCUGGCAUAUAUGGAUGGGGAAAAAAAGGCAUGCAUUUUAAAGUAACCCAAACUGAUGCAUCCAAAUGUGGGAGCCAGUGCUCUAGUGCUGGAACCACUGAAUUGAGGGGUCCAGGGCCCUAGGUUUUGGGACCAACUCUGGUGAUCCAGGACACCUCGCAGGGGGAGACAGAGAGACACUGGAGAGGGGGCAAGAGUGACAGAAAUGCGUAAAGGAGAGAAGAGACAGUGAGGAAAUGAGUUUACAGGACUUUUGAUGACAGGCAGAGUUGGGACACCUGAAAGUGUGGGAGCACAAUCACUUCCACAGGUGGCAGGUGGUCCCACCACACUUUGGUUUGGUGGUUCUCUAACUUCACACCUUCCUAGGACCUGUCUCCUCCUUCACCUCCCUUCCCAAUCGGAUCUGUUUUUAAACAGGAUUUUAUUAAAUGCAGUUCUGUGUGCGUA
This is a long non-coding RNA of Cavia porcellus (domestic guinea pig), 2507 nucleotides long. RefSeq lists it as uncharacterized. NCBI's taxonomy places the organism in Eukaryota, Metazoa, Chordata, Mammalia, Rodentia, Caviidae. The record is from RefSeq and is a predicted model, not a curated record. The transcript has 2 exons.